UUAGAGUUUGAUCCAUGGCUCAGGAUGAACGCUGGCGGCAUGGAUAAGGCAUGCAAGUCGAGAGGUGUAAGACCUCGGCAAACGGGUUAGUAAUGCAUAGGAACGUACCCUGAAGUCGUGAAUAAUCCGGAGAAAUCCGGAAUAAUGCACGAUAUGCUCUACGGAGUAAAGGUUUACCGCUUCAGGAGCGGCCUGUGUCCUAUCAGCUAGUUGGUGGGGUAAUGGCCUACCAAGGCAAUGACGGGUAGGGGGUGUGAGAGCAUGGCCCCCAACAUUGGAACUGAGACACUGUCCAAACUCCUACGGGAGGCUGCAGUCGAGAAUAUUCGUCAAUGGGGGAAACCCUGAACGAGCGAUGCCGCGUGUGGGAUGAAGGCCCUUGGGUGGAAAACCACUUUUCUUACAGACAAACUUA
This 415-nucleotide ribosomal RNA is filed under the name uncultured bacterium. RNAcentral's name for it is "bacterial SSU rRNA". It matches the Rfam family "Bacterial small subunit ribosomal RNA", at positions 1 to 453 of the family's 1533-position model. The record is from RNAcentral.